GUGUCUAGAACGAUCAGAAACCCAGGGACGAACUCUCCUUCUUUCAAAACCCUAACUCCUCUAAAUUCACUCAAAAUCCAAGAAAUAAAACCCAAUUGAAGGUGAAUCAAGGCUGAAUUUGUGAUCCUCAUACUUAGUAGGUCACAAGGUAUGUUAAAUUUUUAGAUAUAAUGAUGUUGGGAUGAUUUUGAAUUCUCAUAACAGAAAUUAGAGGUAAAUUAAUGGAUGUUAUGGGUAAAUUUUGAUGAAUACAAGUCUAGGAAGGAGUAUUAGACUAUGAAUUGAUUUAUUCAUGUCAUAAUUCAUGAGUUUCAUUACUUGUCAUAUAAGGUGUGAUUGUAGUGUUCUUGAUAUAUGAAUCGAAUAACUAUGCCUAAAAAAGGUUAAAGUUAUUAAUCAUGAACAUGACAAUGUUAGAAUACUAAGUAUGCACACUAGAUGUUCGAUAAAAUGCUUGAAUGAAUUGAAAUACUUGAAAAGUAUGAAAUAAUCGUUUAAUUGAUUAAACAAGAGUAUGAGAUAUCGAAUAUUGAACCAUGAGUUCUAAACAAUAUAUUCGAGUCAAAUUUUAUAGGUGAAUUGGGUGGAUCAUCAAAUGGACAAGGCGGGUCGGAUAACCGCUUAAAAGGAAAACUUUGAAAAGGUACGCGGCUAUUCGCUUCGUAAUAUCUUGUUUUAGUACUUUUAUGCUUAGUUGUGGAAUGAUAAUUAAAUCGUUAUAAAGUUGGAUAAUACUAAAAACGAAGAAUUUCGUUUGUAGUAUCCAAACACGAAAAGGUAGAAAUGUUGAGAAUAUAGAAAUGAAGAAAGUGGUGGAUUCCACUUAAAAGUUCACCGGGUUAAAUUGACUCGGAUACUAUAUGUUUGAUUCAGAAAGGGCGAUGGAUUCGUUAGUGAGAUCAAACGGGUCAAAAUCACCAAAGUAUUAAACUUUGGUAAGUUAAAGUGAUAAAUGUUGCUAAUUAAGUCAAAAUGGAAAAACUAGGACAUGUGUACCUUAUUAUCGGCACUUGAGUUUUAGUUUAAUGUCUCGUAAUGUAAACGGAUGAUAAGAUGUGGUUCUUAUGGAAGUUUUGAGCUUAUAAGUACAUUUUAUACCUCAUUAAUGUAAACGGGUCGAAUAAUUUGGAAUACUCCUAUUGUACAGUGAAAACUCCUAUUAUUCAGUGAAACACCUACUGUACAGUGAAUACUCCUACUGUACAGUGAAAACUCCUAUUAUUCAGUGAAACACCUACUGUACAAUGAAUACUCCUAGUGUACAGUGAACAUUACAUAGAGCUGGAAAAAAUGUUGUUCUUUUAUGUGUUUUGACUUUAGUACUUGUUAAUACACAUUAUAAACAUCAAUGACUAAUGUUUUGAAAAAUUUCUGGAUUAUAGGUGAUGGUAGCGAAUUACGGAUGAUGAUCAAGUACCCGAAAGGAUCGAACACACAAAUGUCAAAGCUUCCGCAAUUAUAAUAGUCCUUUUGAAAUGAAACUUAUGUGUAAUAAGUAGAAGUAGUUUUGUUGAAAAUAUAUAAAAUCCAUGUAAAUUAUCGUUUUGUGGAUAAUUGGUAAAAGACACUUAUAAAGUGAUAUAUGU
RNAcentral lists this long non-coding RNA (1586 nucleotides) under Helianthus annuus (common sunflower). RNAcentral's name for it is "hypothetical non coding rna". Lineage: Eukaryota; Viridiplantae; Streptophyta; Magnoliopsida; Asterales; Asteraceae. The record is from RNAcentral.